RNAcentral lists this ribosomal RNA (621 nucleotides) under Triticum aestivum (bread wheat). Its description in RNAcentral is "partial small subunit ribosomal RNA". Lineage: Eukaryota; Viridiplantae; Streptophyta; Magnoliopsida; Poales; Poaceae. The record is from RNAcentral.
GCGGCUGGGAGCGAGACAUCAGCCACGAUGCUGGAAUGGGCCAUGUCAAAGCUCGUGAAGGAGUCACGCCUCCUCCGCAAGGCGCAUGCCGAGGUCCGGGAGGCAUUCAAAGGCCAGCACGAGCUGACCGAGGGCGACAUGGGGAAGCUAGCUACGUCCAUCGGCCGGGUGAUCAAGGAGACGCUGCGGCUACACACGCCGGUGUCGUUCCUGCUGCCCCGGCAGUGCCGGGAGGCAUGCGAGGUGAUGGGCUACGACGUCCCCGAGGGGACCAGGGUGCUGGUGAACGCGUGGGCCAUGACCUAGGACGGCGCCUACUGGGAGGAUGCCGAGGCGUUCAGGCCGGAAAGGUUUGAGGAGGGGAGCGCCGUCGCUGACUUCAGGGGCGGCGACUUCGAGUUCAUCCCCUUCGGUGCCAGCAGGAGGAUGUGCCCCGGCAUAGCACUCGGCCAGGCCAACAUGGAGCUCGUGCUUGCGGGCCUCCUCUACCACUUCAACUGGGAGCUUCCCGAUGGCGGGAGGCCGGAGGAACUUGACAUGUCAGAGGCGUUCGGCCUGGCCAUACAGAGGAAGUCUAGGCUCGUGUUGCGCGCCAUGCAACAUAUUUCAGUCACAAAUUGA